Molecule: ribosomal RNA, 251 nt
Filed under: uncultured prokaryote
Description: partial 16S ribosomal RNA
Rfam family: Bacterial small subunit ribosomal RNA
Source: RNAcentral
ACGUAGGGUGCAAGCGUUAAUCGGAAUUACUGGGCGUAAAGCGUGCGCAGGCGGUUCGGAAAGAAAGAUGUGAAAUCCCAGGGCUUAACCUUGGAACUGCAUUUUUAACUACCGGGCUAGAGUGUGUCAGAGGGGGGUGGAAUUCCGCGUGUAGCAGUGAAAUGCGUAGAGAUGCGGAGGAACACCGAUGGCGAAGGCAGCCCCCUGGGAUAACACUGACGCUCAUGCACGAAAGCGUGGGGAGCAAACAG